CGUAGGUGGCAAGCGUUAUCCGGAUUUAUUGGGCGUAAAGCGAGCGCAGGCGGUUGCUUAGGUCUGAUGUGAAAGCCUUCGGCUUAACCGAAGAAGUGCAUCGGAAACCGGACGACUUGAGUGCAGAAGAGGACAGUGGAACUCCAUGUGUAGCGGUGGAAUGCGUAGAUAUAUGGAAGAACACCAGUGGCGAAGGCGGCUGUCUGGUCUGCAACUGACGCUGAGGCUCGAAAGCAUGGUAGCGAACAGGAUU
Molecule: ribosomal RNA, 253 nt
Filed under: uncultured bacterium
Lineage: Bacteria
Description: partial 16S ribosomal RNA
Rfam family: Bacterial small subunit ribosomal RNA
Source: RNAcentral